GAUGAACGCUGGCGGCGUGCCUAAUACAUGCAAGUCGAGCGAACGGACGAGACGCUUGCUUCUCUGACGUUAGCGGCGGACGGGUGAGUAACACGUGUAUCACCUACCUAUAAGACUGGGAUCACUUCGGGACACCGGAGCUAAUACCGGAUGAUAUUUUGAACCGCAUGGUUCAAUAGUGAAAGACGGUCUUGCUGUCACUUCUAGAUGCAUCCGCGCUGCAUUAGCUAGUUGGUAAGGUAACGGCUUACCAAGGCAACGAUGCAUAGCCGACCGGAGAGGGGGAUAGGCCACACUGGAACGGAGACACGGUCCAGACUCCUACGGGAGGCAGCAGUAGGGAAUCUGCCGCAAUGGGCGAAAGCCUGACGGAGCAACGCGGAGUGAGUGAUGGAGGUGUUGGGAUCGUAAAACUCUGUUAGUGGGGAAAAACAGAUGUGUAAGUAACUGAGCACAUCGUGACGGUACCUAAUCAGAAAGCAACGGCUAACUACGUG
RNAcentral lists this ribosomal RNA (497 nucleotides) under uncultured bacterium. Its description in RNAcentral is "partial 16S ribosomal RNA". It matches the Rfam family "Bacterial small subunit ribosomal RNA", at positions 28 to 507 of the family's 1533-position model. The record is from RNAcentral.